UACGAAGGGUGCAAGCGUUGCUCGGAAUCACUGGGCGUAAAGCGCACGUAGGCGGAUUGCUAAGUCAGGGGUGAAAUCCUGGAGCUCAACUCCAGAACUGCCUUUGAUACUGGCGACCUUGAGUCCGGGAGAGGUGAGUGGAACUGCGAGUGUAGAGGUGAAAUUCGUAGAUAUUCGCAAGAACACCAGUGGCGAAGGCGGCUCACUGGCCCGGUACUGACGCUGAGGUGCGAAAGCGUGGGGAGCAAACAGG
This 253-nucleotide ribosomal RNA is filed under the name uncultured bacterium. Its description in RNAcentral is "partial 16S ribosomal RNA". It matches the Rfam family "Bacterial small subunit ribosomal RNA", at positions 524 to 776 of the family's 1533-position model. The record is from RNAcentral.